CUCUGAUGUCCUCCAGUGGAUGACUGAUUCAACGCACCAUGGGACAUCCAGACUGUGGACUACGACUCAGCAAUAAAAAAAGAACCAAUGACUGAUACAUGCAACAACCUGGAUGUAUCUCAGGGAAAUUUUGCCGAGUGGAAAUGGUCAACCUCGUGCAUAAGUCUCCGUGGCUCCCUACCAGACCUCAGGGAUUGGGCAUUUCCUUGACUUCUUAUUUGUUCUGUUCUGCCUGCUUCCCUCUUCCUGCUCCCCGGAUCCCACGCAGAGGAUGGACUAGAGCCAAAAGAGCAGUUGAGGAAAAUGAGUCUCAAGAAGGUUUACCAGUUUGGCCCAGGCCACACUAGAAAGAGGAGAUGGGAAUCAAAUAUAUGAGCUUUAUGUAUUCUUCAGGCCAUCUUCUCACUGCAAUAUACAUGUCGUAUCUUCUCCCAU
Molecule: long non-coding RNA, 435 nt
Organism: Hyaena hyaena (striped hyena)
Lineage: Eukaryota; Metazoa; Chordata; Mammalia; Carnivora; Hyaenidae
Exons: 3
Source: RefSeq, a predicted model, not a curated record